UCUCCGGUAGCUCAGUUGGCAGAGCAAUUGACUGUUAAUCAAUGGGUCGCUGGUUCGAGCCCAGCCCGGAGAGCCA
This 76-nucleotide transfer RNA is filed under the name Opitutia bacterium. Its description in RNAcentral is "tRNA-Asn". It matches the Rfam family "tRNA". Rfam says of the family: Transfer RNA (tRNA) molecules are approximately 80 nucleotides in length. Lineage: Bacteria; Pseudomonadati; Verrucomicrobiota; Opitutia. RNAcentral also lists the same sequence under 1 other name. The record is from RNAcentral.